GGGGAGGAGGGGGGGGAGGAGGAGGUGAAGAGGAAAGCAGUGAGCCACAAGGGAACGAUUCUUUCAGGAAAUGUUGUGCAGGCAAGACGUGUGUGCCGAGGAGUGUGUCUGUCCACUGCAUCCUCACGAGUUUGGUUAACGUCGUAAGCAGCAGUGUCUACAACAAGGGAGAACGUCUGGUCAUGCCGCCCACACCUACACACGGGCAAGUCUCGGGCGUCAGUCAGGCGAUGGAGCACGAGUGUCAGCACGUCCCGCCACAAGGCUAUCAGCGGCGUCCCUACAUCUCCGCUCUACCAACUUGAGCCACAUCUGUUUACACAAGCGAACUCGUCAGCCACAGCGGCGCCUGAAUCGGACCUGCACCCGCCCAAGUGUCUGAAGCCCCGGUAUUCUGUUGGUGCUCCUCAUCGGUGUCCAUGUGGUAGCAGUCUGCCUCUUCAGAAGGGGACGCAGACCGCGGAGGCGUGGGGCCCGGCACAGUUCCUGCCAUUACGGAAGGGAGAACCAAACCAGCGUGUCCUAACAAACCCCAACCUGCCGCAGGAACUGGCUCCUCUGCACUGGAAGACGCCAGCCACUGUCUCACAACACACGGGGAGGGAGGACAGACUGCCUCGCUUCAUCUACAACACAGGGAGCCAUCCAGGGAGGGAGGACAGACUGCCUCGCUUCAUCUACAACAUACGGAGCCAUCCAGGGAGGGAGGACAGACUGCCUCGCUUCAUCUACAACACACGGAGCCAUCCAGGGAGGGACAGACUGCCUCGCUUCAUCUACCAACACACGGAGCCAUCCAGGGAGGGACAGACUGCCUCGCUUCAUCUACAACAUACGGAGCCAUCCAGGGAGGGACAGACUGCCUCGCUUCAUCUACAACAUACGGAGCCAUCCAGGGAGGGAGGACAGACUGCCUCGCUUAUCUGAUGUAACCAAUACAUGUUUGCUAGUCACUUGUGAUGUCAUUCCUUCCAUCUAUGAAUGUGCCCACGUGAAUGUAAUGUAGGCCUACUUACUUAUUACCCACAUGACUAGUGUUACUACUCAAUAAAUCCUGACUAAUGAAA
This 1067-nucleotide unclassified non-coding RNA is filed under the name Portunus trituberculatus (swimming crab). RNAcentral's name for it is "uncharacterized LOC123505330, transcript variant X8". The record is from RNAcentral. Lineage: Eukaryota; Metazoa; Arthropoda; Malacostraca; Decapoda; Portunidae.